RNAcentral lists this ribosomal RNA (447 nucleotides) under uncultured bacterium. RNAcentral's name for it is "bacterial SSU rRNA". It matches the Rfam family "Bacterial small subunit ribosomal RNA", at positions 329 to 793 of the family's 1533-position model. The record is from RNAcentral.
GGCCAGACUCCUACGGGAGGCAGCAGUGGGGGAUAUUGCACAAUGGGGGGAACCCUGAUGCAGCGACGCCGCGUGGGUGAAGGAGCACCUCGGUGCGUAAAGCCCUAUCGGCAGGGAAGAAACAGACGGUACCUGACUAAGAAGCCCCGGCUAACUACGUGCCAGCAGCCGCGGUAAUACGUAGGGGGCAAGCGUUAUCCGGAUUCACUGGGUGUAAAGGGAGCGUAGACGGCGACGCAAGUCUGGAGUGAAAGCCCGCGGCCCAACCGCGGGACUGCAUUGGGAACUACCGGGCUGGAGUGCCGGAGAGGUAGGCGGAAUUCCUAGUGUAGCGGUGAAAUGCGUAGAUAUUAGGAGGAACACCAGUGGCGAAGGCGGCCUACUGGACGGUGACUGACGCUGAGGCUCGAAAGCGUGGGGAGCAAACAGGAUUAGAUACCCGUGUAC